RNAcentral lists this transfer RNA (83 nucleotides) under Clostridioides difficile. RNAcentral's name for it is "tRNA-Leu". It matches the Rfam family "tRNA". Rfam says of the family: Transfer RNA (tRNA) molecules are approximately 80 nucleotides in length. Their secondary structure includes four short double-helical elements and three loops (D, anti-codon, and T loops). The record is from RNAcentral. Lineage: Bacteria; Bacillati; Bacillota; Clostridia; Peptostreptococcales; Peptostreptococcaceae.
GCGGGUGUAGCUCAAUGGUAGACGCACUAGACUUAGGAUCUAGCGCCAUUGGCGUGGGGGUUCGACUCCCUUCAUCCGCACCA